GUGCUUGCUUUGGCAGCAUGUACACUAAAAUUGGAACGAUACAGAGGAUCAGCAUGGCCCCUGUGCAAGGAUGACAUGCAAACUUGUGAAGCGUUUGAUAUUUCU
Capra hircus (goat) is the source of this 105-nucleotide small nuclear RNA. NCBI's taxonomy places the organism in Eukaryota, Metazoa, Chordata, Mammalia, Artiodactyla, Bovidae. The record is from Ensembl.